Molecule: long non-coding RNA, 532 nt
Organism: Myotis brandtii (Brandt's bat)
Lineage: Eukaryota; Metazoa; Chordata; Mammalia; Chiroptera; Vespertilionidae
Exons: 3
Source: RefSeq, a predicted model, not a curated record
CACUCAAAGGGGGUGUCCGUGCACCGAGGCUGGACGAGGGGGAGCAGGCCGAGGUGCACAUUUUCGGGGACAACAACAUAAUCAGGGUACAGGCAAUAGGAUUAAAGAGCAGGAAUGCAAAGAGAAUGGUACUUGGAUUGAUGUCGGGCAACCUGGUUACCAUCUCAUAAGGCUGUGAUCACUUGUCCGAGAUAGGCACAGCACUCAACUGCCUGAGGGAGAAACUGAGAGAAGGAGAGAGUUCUGAAGACUGAGAAAGAAUGGUGGUCUUCAGUUUGUUCUUCACGUAGCAGAGACCCAUGCCUCUUGAAGCAUUGUGGGGAGAACUUGUAGAGGAAGGACUGGAUGGUGUACAUAGAGAGGCUCUACAUGAGACUCUAGGCUUUCAGUCCUGGCAGAGAAUUCUGUGCCAACCUUGGCAGAAAUCAGCAGAGCCGUCUGAACUUACAGGAGCAUGAGAGAUUGGACAAUGUGCACAUGGGUGAAGUCUGCUAUGGGGUGAAGACAAGAAGGAUUGAUCUAAACAACAUAA